CCCUUAGAUGUUCUGGGCCGCACGCGUGCUACACUGAGUGGAUCAGCGGGUCAGGUUGCGCGAAAGUGUUUCCUAAUCUUGAAAUCCGCUCGUGAUGGGGAUUGACGGUUGCAAUUUUCCGUCAUGAACGAGGAAUACCUUGUAAGCGCGGGUCAUCAUCCCGCGCUGAAUACGUCCCUGCCCUUUGUACACACCGCCCGUCACUCCUACCGAUUGAGUGGUCCGGUGAGGCUUUGGGAUCUGAGCGGAAAGAGCGUUUCGCUGUUUCUGCUCGGAAAACUCAGUCGAACCUUAUCAUUUAGAGGAAGGAGAAGUCGUAACA
RNAcentral lists this ribosomal RNA (322 nucleotides) under uncultured eukaryote. RNAcentral's name for it is "partial 18S ribosomal RNA". It matches the Rfam family "Eukaryotic small subunit ribosomal RNA", at positions 1470 to 1796 of the family's 1831-position model. The record is from RNAcentral.